Molecule: ribosomal RNA, 484 nt
Filed under: uncultured bacterium
Lineage: Bacteria
Description: partial 16S ribosomal RNA
Rfam family: Bacterial small subunit ribosomal RNA
Source: RNAcentral
GACGAACGCUGGCGGCGUGCUUAACACAUGCAAGUCGAACGAUGAAGCUAGAGCUUGCUCUGGUGAAUUAGUGGCGAACGGGUGAGUAACACGUGAGUAACCUGCCCCGAACUCUGGGAUAACUGCUGGAAACGGUAGCUAAUACUAGAUACGACCUACGAAGGCAUCUUCUGUAGGUGGAAAGAAUUUCGGUUCGGGAUGGACUCGCGGCCUAUCAGCUUGUUGGUGAGGUAAUGGCUCAUCAAGGCGACGACGGGUAGCCGGCCUGAGAGGGUGGCCGGCCACACUGGGACUGAGACACGGCCCAGACUCCUACGGGAGGCAGCAGUGGGGAAUAUUGCACAAUGGGCGCAAGCCUGAUGCAGCAACGCCGCGUGAGGGAUGACGGCCUUCGGGUUGUAAACCUCUUUUAGUAGGGAAGAAGCGAAAGUGACGGUACCUGCAGAAAAAGCACCGGCUAACUACGUGCCAGCCGCCGCCGUAA